RNAcentral lists this ribosomal RNA (404 nucleotides) under Fusobacteriota bacterium. RNAcentral's name for it is "Fusobacteria bacterium partial 16S ribosomal RNA". It matches the Rfam family "Bacterial small subunit ribosomal RNA", at positions 355 to 776 of the family's 1533-position model. The record is from RNAcentral. Lineage: Bacteria; Fusobacteriati; Fusobacteriota.
UGGGGAAUAUUGCACAAUGGAGGGAACUCUGAUGCAGCGACGCCGCGUGAGUGAUGAAGGAAUUCGUUUCGUAAAACUCUGUUCUAUGGGAAGAAAAGGACUGUACCAUAGGAGAAAGCUCCGGCUAAAUACGUGCCAGCAGCCGCGGUAAUACGUAUGGAGCGAGCGUUGUCCGGAAUUAUUGGUCGUAAAGGGUGCGCAGGCGGCUUUGCAAGUUGGAUGUGAAAUAUUGUGGCUCAACCACAAACGUGCAUCCAAAACUGCAAAGCUUGGGUUAAGGAGAGGUAAGUGGAAUUCCUGGUGUAGCGGUGGAAUGCGUAGAUAUCAGGGGGAAUACCGGUGGCGAAGGCGACUUACUGGACUUAAACUGACGCUCAGGCACGAAAGCGUGGGGAGCAAACAGG